Molecule: non-coding RNA, 148 nt
Organism: Pan troglodytes (chimpanzee)
Lineage: Eukaryota; Metazoa; Chordata; Mammalia; Primates; Hominidae
Rfam family: Metazoan signal recognition particle RNA
About the family: The signal recognition particle (SRP) is a universally conserved ribonucleoprotein. It is involved in the co-translational targeting of proteins to membranes.
Source: Rfam
GCCGGGCAUGGUGACGUGUGCCUGUAAUCCCAGCCACUUGGGAGGCUGAGGCAGGAGAAUUGCUGAACCCAGGGAGGCAGAGGUUGUAGUGAGCCGAAACCGUGCCACUGCACUCCAGCCUGGGUGACACAGCGAGAUUCUGUCUCCA